Molecule: non-coding RNA, 766 nt
Organism: Phalacrocorax carbo (great cormorant)
Lineage: Eukaryota; Metazoa; Chordata; Aves; Suliformes; Phalacrocoracidae
Source: RefSeq, a predicted model, not a curated record
CCUCCGCCCUGGCAGCAGAACGGCUCCCGUAAGCCGCCCGCGGCGGGAAGGGGAGUGUCUGCUCAGCCAAGGCGGUCAUGGCCUAGCGCGGGGCUGCGGCCAGAACAGCUGAGAUUUCCAUGUUUAAGAACCAAUAAAAUAAUUAGAAUCCCAGAAACUAGUAUUACAGAAAAGCUAAUGCUCUGAAGGGUGACAAGAAGGAGGCACUAUACAACUAAAAGAAAACUCACAUUUAUUGGUAAGUAAUACACAAUGACAGAUCAGAACACUGUCUUUCAUGAAAAUUAGGAUUUUGAAGUGAUCAGACAAGAAUAUAAGGAAGGUAAGAGGGAACAAAACACACCACUAUGCUAGUGUAUGCCUAUUGUAUAAAGUGACUUGAAUCAUGCUUGCAAUGAAUGUCGAGGGAAAAUAACCAAAGCAAAGAUAAAUGCACGAUAUAUGGACAGGAUGUUGGCAGAGCUUCACAUAGUCAAUCUAUAUCUAGUCUGUUAAAAGAAGCUACAAGAAGGCUGUAAAAUUUGAUGACCUUGAGUAGGGAAUGGCAGAAAAGAGGAGACUUUUCUAAGCUGCUGAUAUAAAAACACUUCUAGCCUUAAUUAGUGAAGAAAGUGCCACUCCUUUUAUUGCUCAUUAGAUAGGUAUUUUUCAUCCAUUUAAAUUAAUGGGUUAUUAUUUCUCCUUGGCCUUCCAUCUCUGUGGUUUGUUGUUUGUUUGUUUUUUAAAUCUCAAUUCUGCCAUUUCAGGGUCCGACAAUGUUUUGAAC